AGCNGCCCGUAGCCGGCCCGGUGUGUCCCUCGUUAAAUCCACGGGCUUAACCCGUGGGCUGCGGGGGAUACUACCGGGCUUGGGGGUGGGAGAGGCGCCCGGUAUUCCCGGGGUAGGGGUAAAAUCCUCUGAUCCCGGGAGGACCAUCAGUGGCGAAGGCGGGGCGCCAGAACACGCCCGACGGUGAGGGGCGAAAGCUGGGGGAGCAAACGGGAUUAGAUACCCCGGUAGUCCCAGCUGUAAACGAUGCGGGCUAGCUGUCGGGGCGGCUACGGGCCGCCCCGGUGGCGAAGGGAAGCCAUUAAGCCCGCCGCCUGGGGAGUACGGCCGCAAGGCUGAAACUUAAAGGAAUUGGCGGGGGAGCAC
RNAcentral lists this ribosomal RNA (366 nucleotides) under uncultured prokaryote. RNAcentral describes it as "bacterial SSU rRNA". It matches the Rfam family "Archaeal small subunit ribosomal RNA", at positions 514 to 879 of the family's 1478-position model. The record is from RNAcentral.